GCUUUAACCAAAGGGUAGCUCAGUCGGUAGCGCACAAGACUCUUAAUCUCGGGUUGUGAGUUCAUGCCCCGCGUUGGGCA
This is a non-coding RNA of Podarcis lilfordi (Lilford's wall lizard), 80 nucleotides long. The record is from the annotation of a GenBank genome assembly. NCBI's taxonomy places the organism in Eukaryota, Metazoa, Chordata, Lepidosauria, Squamata, Lacertidae.